RNAcentral lists this ribosomal RNA (926 nucleotides) under Clostridioides difficile. Its description in RNAcentral is "bacterial LSU rRNA". It matches the Rfam family "Bacterial large subunit ribosomal RNA", at positions 516 to 1451 of the family's 2925-position model. Lineage: Bacteria; Bacillati; Bacillota; Clostridia; Peptostreptococcales; Peptostreptococcaceae. The record is from RNAcentral.
GAAAAGAACCCCGGGAGGGGAGUGAAAUAGAACCUGAAACCCUGCACUUACAAGCUGUGGAAGCACAUUUCUUGUGUGACCGCGUACUUUUUGUAGAACGGGCCAACGAGUUACGUUAAGUAGCAAGGUUAAGCACUUAAGGUGCGGAGCCGUAGCGAAAGCGAGUUUUAACUGAGCGUUCAGUUACUGGACGUAGACCCGAAACCGGGCGACCUACCCAUGAGCAGGAUGAAGCGAAAGUAAAAUUUCGUGGAGGUCCGAACCCACGAGCGUUGAAAAGCUCGGGGAUGACUUGUGGGUAGCGGUGAAAUUCCAAUCGAGCCCGGAGAUAGCUGGUUCUCCCCGAAAUAGCUUUAGGGCUAGCCUCAAGGUGAGAGAUACGGAGGUAGAGCACUGAAUGUCCUAGGGGGUAUUGCACCUACCGAAGACUAUCAAACUCCGAAUGCCGUCAUCUUAUACUUGGGAGUCAGACUGUGGGUGAUAAGAUUCAUAGUCGAAAGGGCAACAGCCCAGAUCGUCAGCUAAGGUCCCUAAAUGUAAGUUAAGUGGUAAAGGAUGUGGGAUUGCACAGACAACCAGGAUGUUGGCUUAGAAGCAGCCACUCAUUCAAAGAGUGCGUAAUAGCUCACUGGUCGAGUGAUCCUGCGCCGAAGAUUUCCGGGGCUAAAACUUACUACCGAAGCUACGGCAUCAGUAAUGAUGGGUAGGGGAGCUUCCCAUACGGGUUGAAGCAUGACCGUAAGGACAUGUGGACAGUAUGGGAGUGAGAAUGUUGGCAUGAGUAGCGAGAUGUGGGUGAGAAUCCCACAGGCCGUAAACCCAAGGUUUCCAGGGGAAGGUUCGUCCGCCCUGGGUUAGUCGGGACCUAAGCUGAGGCCGAAAGGCGUAGGUGAUGGACAACAGGUUGAUAUUCCUGUACUACCGAU